AUGUGGAGACAAUCAGCAGAAGUAAAAUUAAGGACAUCAAGUUUGUCAGUCAACAGUGAACCAAGAGGUCUCUCAGCCAUAUUCCAGAUGGCCUGCUAUUUUGCUGUACUUCAGUCACAUAUCAACAUACAGCAGCAAACUCCGAAAAUGACAUAAUGAAAUACAAGCAGCUUGUUCUACCAGUAUCAACCUUCAUAUCCAGUAGCUGUGACAAAGAAAGAAAUUAAACCUCAUCAAGAUGAAGUAGUGGUGAGUUUUCUUCAUAAUGUGGAUAGAUUUCAUUUAAAACUAGGUUUCCUGCUACUUUCUCCAACAGUGAAAAUAGCAUAACACAUGUAAAAAGAGCAGAAGAUGGUCAGCUGAAACCACAGUAUCUUCUAAUUUGCCUUUUGAUUUCCUUCACAAGGAAAAUAAGAAAAAUAUUAGAGAUGUUAGAUAGCAAUCUAAAUCUGAAAUGAUCAAAAACACAGCAAGUUUGUUUACCUAAAGUCCAUGUUCACACAUUUCUGAAGUAUGUUAACAUGAUUCUUCUUAGCCUUCUGGAGUUAAGUCUUCCAAAACAACACUGUGCUAUGACAGAGAAACACUUUCAAAGCAUUAUAAUGUUAUGAGCAAUAUAUAUAGUGCUUUCUAUGACAUUAUUUUAUAAAGAGACUUUAGUAGUUUUUCAUUCUCAGUUCCUCAGGGUAUAGAACUGUUAUUUUAUGCAGCUGAUACUACUUUAUUUGUUCAAUUUCCCUUAACAAAACUUUAUAAAAGAAAACAAAAGUUCUGAUACAAGAAAA
Molecule: long non-coding RNA, 785 nt
Filed under: Meleagris gallopavo (turkey)
Lineage: Eukaryota; Metazoa; Chordata; Aves; Galliformes; Phasianidae
Description: lncRNA (ENSMGAG00000019079.1)
Source: RNAcentral